Cinara cedri is the source of this 372-nucleotide non-coding RNA. NCBI's taxonomy places the organism in Eukaryota, Metazoa, Arthropoda, Insecta, Hemiptera, Aphididae. The record is from the annotation of a GenBank genome assembly.
CCGUAGCUCCGCCAAUUAUUAUGAUAUAGUGGUCGGUGCAAACACGGCCGUCGUAGUGUCGGUUCGAAUUUUCCGUCUGUAGCAAAAGUUUCCGUACCGUAGCAGUGAAUUCUCGUCCGACAAUAAUACUCAGUCCCGUAAUGUUUUCGUCGGGAAAUCACUACAGUGGAAGAGAAUUCCGCUCGUUUCGCGAUGACGUUCAGUACAGCAAAUAAUAUGUCAUUCCGUUCUCGAAAAGUAAAACGCGUUAAUACGGACUUCGGGUGGAGACAAGAAAAAAAAAUACAAAUAUAAACACAAAUGACGAACAAAAACGAAUUGUUUUUAUGAUAUAAUAUCAUUGUUGGUAUACCGUCAGACAGGUGCCACAGA